This 505-nucleotide ribosomal RNA is filed under the name uncultured bacterium. Its description in RNAcentral is "partial 16S ribosomal RNA". It matches the Rfam family "Bacterial small subunit ribosomal RNA", at positions 28 to 507 of the family's 1533-position model. The record is from RNAcentral.
GACGAACGCUGGCGGCGUGCCUAAUACAUGCAGGUCGAACGCACAGUUUAUACCGUAGCUUGCUACACCAUAGACUGUGAGUUGCGAACGGGUGAGUAACGCGUAGGUAACCUGCCUGGUAGCGGGGGAUAACUAUUGGAAACGAUAGCUAAUACCGCAUAAUAUUAAUUAUUGCAUGAUAAUUAAUUGAAAGGUGCAAUUGCACCACUACCAGAUGGACCUGCGUUGUAUUAGCUAGUAGGUGAGGUAACGGCUCACCUAGGCGACGAUACAUAGCCGACCUGAGAGGGUGAUCGGCCACACUGGGACUGAGACACGGCCCAGACUCCUACGGGAGGCAGCAGUAGGGAAUCUUCGGCAAUGGACGAAAGUCUGACCGAGCAACGCCGCGGGAGUGAAGAAGGUUUUCGGAUCGUAAAGCUCUGUUGUAAGAGAAGAACGGGUGUGAGAGUGGAAAGUUCACACUGUGACGGUAGCUUACCAGAAAGGGACGGCUAACUACGUG